AGUGAACGCUGGCGGUAGGCCUAACACAUGCAAGUCGAACGGCAGCACAGUAAGAGCUUGCUCUUACGGGUGGCGAGUGGCGGACGGGUGAGGAAUACAUCGGAAUCUACUUUUUCGUGGGGGAUAACGUAGGGAAACUUACGCUAAUACCGCAUACGACCUACGGGUGAAAUCAGGGGAUCUUCGGACCUUGCGCGAUUCAAUGAGCCGAUGUCGGAUUAGCUAGUUUGCGGGGUAAAGGCCCACCAAGGCGACGAUCCGUAGCUGGUCUGAGAGGAUGAUCAGCCACACUGGAACUGAGACACGGUCCAGACUCCUACGGGAGGCAGCAGUGGGGAAUAUUGGACAAAGGGCGCAAGCCUGAUCCAGCCAUACCGCGUGGGUGAAGAAGGCCUUCGGGUUGUAAAGCCCUUUUGUUGGGAAAGAAAAGCAGCAGGUUAAUACCCCGCUGUUCUGACGGUACCCAAAGAAUAAGCACCGGCUAACUUCGUG
RNAcentral lists this ribosomal RNA (492 nucleotides) under uncultured bacterium. RNAcentral's name for it is "partial 16S ribosomal RNA". It matches the Rfam family "Bacterial small subunit ribosomal RNA", at positions 29 to 507 of the family's 1533-position model. The record is from RNAcentral.